UACGAAGGGUGCAAGCGUUGCUCGGAAUUAUUGGGCGUAAAGGGUUGGUAGGUGGUCUUGUUUGUCUAGGGUGAAAUCCCAUGGCUUAACUGUGGAAGUGCCCUAGAAACGGCAAGACUAGAGUCCUAGAGGGGUUUGUGGAAUUCCCGGUGUAGCGGUGAAAUGCGUAGAGAUCGGGAGGAACACCAGCGGCGAAGGCGGCAAACUGGAUAGGCACUGACACUCAACAACGAAAGCGUGGGGAGCAAACAGGAUUAGAUACCCCCGUAGUCC
RNAcentral lists this ribosomal RNA (273 nucleotides) under uncultured bacterium. RNAcentral's name for it is "partial 16S ribosomal RNA". It matches the Rfam family "Bacterial small subunit ribosomal RNA", at positions 524 to 796 of the family's 1533-position model. The record is from RNAcentral.